Arabidopsis lyrata subsp. lyrata is the source of this 1692-nucleotide long non-coding RNA. RefSeq lists it as uncharacterized. Lineage: Eukaryota; Viridiplantae; Streptophyta; Magnoliopsida; Brassicales; Brassicaceae. The record is from RefSeq and is a predicted model, not a curated record. The transcript is spliced from 4 exons.
GUAACAAGCUUGAAGCAGAAUCAAGAAAAAUUGGCUAGCUGACGCUCAAGAAAGUUUAGUGGCAGAAAUCGACGAUAUGAGUAAGACAAAGGAUCAGGAAGACCUGUUUCAUGCCAUUUCACUUGGAACUAACCCCUCUUUCACACCAGAUGUGGAGUUCAGUUACUAUGCAUGGUACACCAGAUAUGCAUAGUAACCCCUCACAGUGUUGGUCUUUCUUUGUCUUUCAUAUCUUGAAAUAUACAAUGAGGUAUGCGAAUAAGUUUAUCCAUAAUAUAAUACAGCAUUUACUAACACUGUGAAUAAACCCUCAAGUUAAGGCUUUUAGCCUCAGAUAUAUUUUCUUAUUCUCCUCACUUUGAAGAAUAUCUUACGUUGUUUUUGUAACUCAUCACGUCUCAAUUUCUUUUCUCAAGGAGUUGGAAGAAUUAUGGGAGAGGAGGACUCUAAGAAAUUGAUUUCUUUUCACCAAUCAUAUUUUUUUUUUUUUAGGUGCUUACAAUUUACCCUUCUUCGACAGGAUCAGUUUAGCAGUGGGAACCAAGGUAAAGGGCUUCUGCUUAAGCUGCCUUGACUUCUGCAUUUAAUUCUUCUUCCGGUUUUCUAUUUUAGGAUUUGGUUCCUUAUUUGCAUCGCUGGAUUUCUUACGGUCCUUACUACUGUGGAGUUGGAGCUGACAAGAUUUGGGGGCGUGACAUUGUAGAUGCUCAUUACAAAGCUUGUUUACAUGCUUUAAUUAACAUUAGUGGUACUAAUGGUGAAGUUAUGCCUGGACAGGUGUCCAGGCCCGUUUUCAAUGGAGCUUUGAUAAUAGAUUCUGUUAUUUGUAUGUUUUACCAGUUGCCAAUCCUCUGAUGUUAUUGUAAACAUUUGUGGAGUGAGAGUUCCAAGUUGGCCCAAGCGUAGGAAUCAAUGCAGGUGAUCAUGUUGGGUGUGCUAGUUACCUUCUUGAGGUAAUCAAAAGUCUUUUUUGUAGAGAGGUGUGAGUAAGUUACAUGUUCGUGUGAAGUAGAGGUAUGUUUCAGGCUUGGUUUUCUUUAAGAUUGAUGAUUUUGUCUUCUUCCAAUCUUUAAAUGUUAAAUUUAUUCUUCAGUGCAUUGAUCUAGUAGUGAUCUAGUGUAUCUUGAUGAUCAAUGCCUUUAAUUUCUGAGAAGUCUUUUCCGUUUUGGGUCCGAAUGUCACCUGAACAUUGAGAUGAAUCUUUAUGAUGUUUUGAUUAUAAAUUCUUUCUUAUUGUUUCAAUAUGUAGGUGAUUAGAAAAUGAUCGAAAGCAAGACAACGCAUGUCCCAGUUCAGGACUCUAAGUUAACUCGUCUUCUGCAAUCUUCAUUGACUGGGCAUGGGCAUGGGCAUGGAUCAGUACGUCUCUUCUGUAUUUGGUGAAUUAGCUGGUAGAGUUCUUGAGGCUACAGAGGGUGGUAGAACUCUUUCGACUUAUAUACAUUAGAGUUUGCAUCGAGUAAAGUUUGCUGUUAUGUCCCAAAUGCAGGUUAAGUGGCGGAAAUCAAAGAUAUCGGUGACAGAAAGCAUAAGGAAGACCCACUUCAUGCCAUUUCAAUUGGAACUAAGCCGUCAACUUAAGGAUUUUAGCCUCAGAUAUAGUUUCCUAUUCUCUUCACUUUCAAGAAUAUUAAUAACAUGUGUUAUAAGUGAUCAUGUCUUAUGUUUUAAGCGAGUGUGAUUAUAUGUUCA